AGAAAAUGAUGUGUAAUGGGUGACUACAAGAGGGGGAAGGUAAAGGAAACUGCCCAAUCAUCAUGAGUAAGUUCUAUAGAUGAGGAUGGAACAGACAAGAAUGAGAGGCGACAAUCAAGGUAGAGAUAGAAACUGAGAGAAGCUUUGUCAUUGAAAUUUCUGGAGCUGAAAACACAAGACUUCCCUUUAAUUACAUCCUAUUUUUGACUAAGCGGUGAAGCCCACAACCAGUUCAGACUGGGCCUGAAGUUUUUGCUGUAUCAACAGUGAUAUUCAGAAAACAAGGUAUUUUGGAAUGUUGGCACACAGAUUGCUUGGUUCGCCAAACCCUGGGUUCUGUUCUACGGUUUGAUGGCCAACAUUUCCAUUCGCUCACCAGGAAGCUAUCCACCUCUGUCUGUACAGCAAGAGAGAUCUGAAGAUUCACAUCCCCUGAAGAGAGAGAAAAAAAUCAGUUGGUGCUUAAAAUGAGUGAUACUUUAUUUUAUAAAAGUAUAGUUCUGGCUGUCAACUUCAAUCAAUGUUAUUCGGUUCGUACAUCAUAUUAAAAUGAAACCAUUGCUAAUUUU
Molecule: long non-coding RNA, 569 nt
Organism: Hemiscyllium ocellatum (epaulette shark)
Lineage: Eukaryota; Metazoa; Chordata; Chondrichthyes; Orectolobiformes; Hemiscylliidae
Exons: 3
Source: RefSeq, a predicted model, not a curated record